ACCACUAAACACAACAAAUAAUCUGCAUCUUUGAUGAUCAAUACCACGAUUAUGUGAACACCAACCAACUUUGAUGAC
RNAcentral lists this small nucleolar RNA (78 nucleotides) under Oryza sativa Indica Group (long-grained rice). RNAcentral's name for it is "Small nucleolar RNA SNORD24". RNAcentral also lists the same sequence under 1 other name. The record is from RNAcentral. Lineage: Eukaryota; Viridiplantae; Streptophyta; Magnoliopsida; Poales; Poaceae.